Molecule: microRNA precursor, 167 nt
Filed under: Cephalotus follicularis
Lineage: Eukaryota; Viridiplantae; Streptophyta; Magnoliopsida; Oxalidales; Cephalotaceae
Description: MIR168 microRNA precursor family
Rfam family: MIR168 microRNA precursor family
Source: Rfam by way of RNAcentral
UCACCGGCGGUCUCUAAUUCGCUUGGUGCAGGUCGGGAACCGAUUUGGCCUCAAUUCAACGUUUUAUCCAGAUGGCGGCCUGUGAUUGGUUAUGGCUUUCAAAUAUUAAGUUGAAAGCGAGAAUUGGAUCCCGCCUUGCAUCAACUGAAUCGGAGACCGAGGUGAAA